Phrynosoma platyrhinos (Desert horned lizard) is the source of this 72-nucleotide non-coding RNA. The record is from the annotation of a GenBank genome assembly. Lineage: Eukaryota; Metazoa; Chordata; Lepidosauria; Squamata; Phrynosomatidae.
GCCAGUGUAGUGUAGUGGUUUGAGUGUUGGACUAUAACUCUGGCGACCAGGGUUUGAAUCCCAGCUUGGCCA